UACGGAGGGUGCAAGCGUUGUCCGGAUUCACUGGGUUUAAAGGGUGCGUAGGCGGGCAGGUAAGUCAGUGGUGAAAUCUUCGAGCUUAACUCGGAAACUGCCGUUGAUACUAUCUGUCUUGAAUACCCGGGAGGUGAGCGGAAUAUGUCAUGUAGCGGUGAAAUGCUUAGAUAUGACAUAGAACACCAAUUGCGAAGGCAGCUCACUACAGGGUCAUUGACGCUGAGGCACGAAAGCGUGGGGAUCAAACAGG
RNAcentral lists this ribosomal RNA (253 nucleotides) under uncultured bacterium. RNAcentral describes it as "partial 16S ribosomal RNA". It matches the Rfam family "Bacterial small subunit ribosomal RNA", at positions 524 to 776 of the family's 1533-position model. The record is from RNAcentral.